CUGUGAUUGGGCGUUCGCAAGGAUUCCUGGGUAGGGGACUUCAGUGGAGUCUCACUCUAUGCGGGCUUCGCCGAAGACCGCAUCGAGGGCACAAAGGAGGCGCUCGCGAGCAGACUUCUGAGCGCUAAAAAGACAAAUGGGACACCCUACAGACUCGUAGACUUGGUGAGAACGCGCAAUUUAAGUCCACGAGACCGCAACUGCGCCAUUUGGGACAGGGCCAAUGUUGCUACCCGAUCCGUCCCGGAAACACGAUUUGUUCCGCGCAUGCGCGACACUUCCGGUUAAUCCAGUUUUCACGACAGUCGACGCGAUCCGUUCAGGGGUUGCUCGAUUUGUACUGCGCAUGUGCAAAAGCGCAUCACGACACUUGUCCUGCGGAUGUGCUCGAUUAGAUAUUUGGUGAUGAGUAUAUGUGAUAGCAGUAUGGAUUCUUUUGCAUUUGAUGAACAACUUAAAUAUUAUCUCUUAAAAGGAGAAAUUCCUGACAGCCCUACAGAGCGUCGGAAGAUAAAACGGGCGUCUACGAAUUAUACCCUCAAAGGUAAUUAAAUACCGAGAAACUGUCUAACGUUACACAAUAUGUCAUGUGCUUAAUUUAUACGUUAACUGUAAAUUACCUGUUCAGCUCUCUCUCGUACUUAGGUGCCCUGCUGAAUAAAAAUAGAUUUGAUAACAGAACCAUUAGCUUUCUACAAUUAAAACCAUUACAAAAUUCCUGUUUUGUAUUGUUUUGGGGAUUAUUCAGAUAUCUGCCACAGUACAUAGACCAUAGUUUCCAUCCCAACCAAAACAAUUUCUAUUAUAACCAUUAAAUCCAAUAAAAUUGCUUAUUUUUUUCAGCAGGGUAUUAAUAUCAUAUUAGUGAUCAUAUAGUGAUAAAAGCGAUCAUAAAUAUAGUUUAAUCUGAGUCAGAUAUUAAUAUGAUUUAUUUUUCUUUACUUUGAACUGCAACCUUUCCUCUUUAAACAGAUGACAGACUCUUUUACACGGGCCCAAGCAGAGCAGGCAGUACAUACGGCUAGUUGUCCUGUCAGAGGAAGAGAAAACAUCUGAUCUUACAGAGUGCCACAAUAACACAGGAACUGGCAAUCACAGUGGUGUGUGUUAUUGCUGGCUACUAUUGGUCCACAAUAAUCAACGACGUGAAAGAAUGGGUAAUAUACUACAGAGGUGGUACUUUACUUUUAAUUUAUACUUUUUCCUAUUUUUUAAAAUAUCUGUACUUAAGAACUUUUGCCACCUCAGGUUGUUAGGUACCUUCUUGAUUUAGAAGUUAUUUUUAGUUUAUUGUUCUCGCCAACCUAGACAUUUUUGUGUUGCUCUUAGGUGAGAUCUUGUUACUGCUGCCAGCUGAAUGACCCCAUCAAACUGUUGUGCCAGUCUUGCAUUCCACUAAGGUACUGCUUACAAUAUUUGUGCAUACUCACAAGACUAACAAGCUAGUUUCAAGCUUGUGUACAGUUUUACCAGCAUUUGACUGAUGCUAAUUUUGUCCCAUGCAGGUAAAAUAAGCUUGGGAGGUGCUUGCUUUAGAUUGAUUGGACCACUACCAGAAACAGAACACAGCAACAAGUAUGUCCGUACCAUGACAGACUGUACACCAAGUGGGUGAUUUCAGAACCCAUGCAGUCUAAGACAGCAGCUGAAGCUGAGACAAUGCAUUAUUUUAAACAUGACAGCUUUCACAAGGAUGCAAACGAUCUGCGUUUAAUUUCAGAUGGGAAACGCUUGCCUCAAGAUUGUAGAAGAAGCUGCACGACAACAUUUACUGUGUACUAUUGUGGCCCGGUUUCACAGACAAGGCUUAGCUUACGCCAGGACUAGGCCUUAGUUAAUUAUCUGCAUGCUGAUGUAUGCACCUGCACAUCGUGUCCAUUAACAUUCACAGAGACACCCGAUGGUAGUCCAAACCAUUGCAAUCUAUCUGUCCUUCCGGUUUUCUUCCCACCUUUUCGAUUUCAACAUGGCAGCGGAGUGAAAUCUAUUGCAUGUACGCUGAAUAUGUGCCUAUAUACAUGCAUGCACAUAUACAUACAUAAAUACAAACUUGUGUCUUAACUUUACCAGGUGCAGCAGCCAGCCAUUGUCAGAGACCUACAUUCAGCAUGGUACUGAGUACCACGUCAUAGAGACUUAUUCCAUGGGGAGGUGACAGAGCCUGUAUUUUUGCGGAUGCACAGGGACGAUCAACAAAAUGUCAUCAGAAAGGCGAAGGAUGACUUUUUGUUUGUAUUUCAGUAUCAAGAAGACAUGGAAACAUUUUUUGGCAUACUGUAUUGAUAAACACGGCCUAAUCAACGGCAUGGUCAAUGCCAUGUUCCUCAAUCAGCAAUUUAAGUAGCUGAAUAGACGAGUGAGUGAGUGACUGAGGGAGGGAGGGAGGGAUGGAGGGAGGUAGUGAGUGAAUGAAUGACUAAAGAAAAGAAGGAACAAAUGUAUAAAUAAAUAAAUUGAAUGAAUUCA
This is a long non-coding RNA of Triplophysa rosa, 2466 nucleotides long. RefSeq lists it as uncharacterized. The transcript is spliced from 3 exons. The record is from RefSeq and is a predicted model, not a curated record. NCBI's taxonomy places the organism in Eukaryota, Metazoa, Chordata, Actinopteri, Cypriniformes, Nemacheilidae.